GCAUUAAUGGGGUAGUGGUAACCUGGGUCGUUGCCACUCAUACGGGUUCGACCCGCCGGGGGUUCGAUUCCCCCUUAAUGCA
Transfer RNA from Daedalea quercina L-15889, 82 nucleotides. It matches the Rfam family "tRNA". Rfam says of the family: Transfer RNA (tRNA) molecules are approximately 80 nucleotides in length. Their secondary structure includes four short double-helical elements and three loops (D, anti-codon, and T loops). Further hydrogen bonds mediate the characteristic L-shaped molecular structure. tRNAs have two regions of fundamental functional importance: the anti-codon, which is responsible for specific mRNA codon recognition, and the 3' end, to which the tRNAs corresponding amino acid is attached (by aminoacyl-tRNA synthetases). tRNAs cope with the degeneracy of the genetic code in two manners: having more than one tRNA (with a specific anti-codon) for a particular amino acid; and 'wobble' base-pairing, i.e. permitting non-standard base-pairing at the 3rd anti-codon position. NCBI's taxonomy places the organism in Eukaryota, Fungi, Basidiomycota, Agaricomycetes, Polyporales, Fomitopsidaceae. The record is from Rfam.